CCCCAAACCUCAUCCCUCCAUCUCCACCAUCCCCCUCCCCCACCCACCGCCGACCGCUGCCGCCCACGACCACUCCGACCAUGCUGGAUGCCACUCGCCUACCAAGCCGACCGUUUCAGCUUCCCCCUCACCCACUGACAGCGUUUCAGCUUCUCUCCACCACGAGUACCGCCGAUCGCCACCCACCGCCAACCAGGAGCUCCAAAUUUUUUCCCCCUCCUCAUCUCCUCUCCCACGCUUCUCCAUCCUCCCCCCUCACCUCCGGUCGAAAGCCAUUUCGACCACGACCACGCCGCACGCUGACCGUUCCGACCACCGUCAAUCUCUCUCUCUACGAUCAGUUUCCCUCUCUCUCUCUCUCUCUCUCUCUCUCUCUCACUUAUUUGUGGUUUUUUUUUGGGGGGGUUUCUCAAACCCCUUUGCUUACCGUGCUUAUCUGUCUAUGGAGAAACUUGGGGGUGCGACUAGAUAGAUCAUGUCUGAUCUCCUAAAAGGGCUGUCAAUAUUACCAUUAAUAGGUCCGUGCUGUCAUGGAAAAAUAUCCUCCUUAUCAGUCUAUUUUUGCUAAAUUAUCCUAUGGAGAGAGCCAGAUGCUAGACAAGGCAUUCUAUGAAGAGGAGGUGAAAAGGCUUUGCUUAGCAUUUGAGCAGCAGUUCCAUUAUGGUGUUUUCUUUGCUUACAUGAGGUUGAGGGAGCAGGAGAUAAGGAAUUUGAUGUGGAUUUCUGAAUGCGUGGCUCAGAAUCAGAAGGCCAGAGUUUAUGACAGUGUUGUCUUCAUCUUUUAGUUCAAUUUUUGACUCGGAAGAAAAAGUAAUUUGUUCUUUUGCAUAAUCUUCUGUAAAUCACCUCCCUCUCAUCCUCCAAUGUUUAGCAGAGAUACCUACCUCUCCCUUUGUGAGAUUGUGUUAAAAAUUAUAGUUUUUGUUUGUUUGUUUAUUAGGAAAGUUAUUGUAUAAGAUUGGUAGAAUAUAUUCUUGUUGUAAGAAGAAA
Alnus glutinosa is the source of this 990-nucleotide long non-coding RNA. RefSeq lists it as uncharacterized. Lineage: Eukaryota; Viridiplantae; Streptophyta; Magnoliopsida; Fagales; Betulaceae. The record is from RefSeq and is a predicted model, not a curated record. The transcript has 3 exons.